This 78-nucleotide transfer RNA is filed under the name Podarcis lilfordi (Lilford's wall lizard). RNAcentral describes it as "tRNA.Lys". The stretch from base 10 to 67 matches the Rfam family "tRNA", at positions 8 to 63 of the family's 71-position model. From Rfam's summary of the family: Transfer RNA (tRNA) molecules are approximately 80 nucleotides in length. The record is from RNAcentral. Lineage: Eukaryota; Metazoa; Chordata; Lepidosauria; Squamata; Lacertidae.
UCCAAGGGAUAGCUCAGUUGGUAGAGCAUGAGACUCUUAAGCUCAAGGUCAUGGGUUUGAGCCCCACAUUGGGCAAAA